RNAcentral lists this ribosomal RNA (907 nucleotides) under Escherichia coli. RNAcentral describes it as "partial 23S ribosomal RNA". It matches the Rfam family "Bacterial large subunit ribosomal RNA", at positions 1 to 940 of the family's 2925-position model. Lineage: Bacteria; Pseudomonadati; Pseudomonadota; Gammaproteobacteria; Enterobacterales; Enterobacteriaceae. The record is from RNAcentral.
GGGUUGUGAGGUUAAGCGACUAAGCGUACACGGUGGAUGCCCUGGCAGUCAGAGGCGAUGAAGGACGUGCUAAUCUGCGAUAAGCGUCGGUAAGGUGAUAUGAACCGUUAUAACCGGCGAUUUCCGAAUGGGGAAACCCAGUGUGUUUCGACACACUAUCAUUAACUGAAUCCAUAGGUUAAUGAGGCGAACCGGGGGAACUGAAACAUCUAAGUACCCCGAGGAAAAGAAAUCAACCGAGAUUCCCCCAGUAGCGGCGAGCGAACGGGGAGGAGCCCAGAGCCUGAAUCAGUGUGUGUGUUAGUGGAAGCGUCUGGAAAGGCGCGCGAUACAGGGUGACAGCCCCGUACACAAAAAUGCACAUGCUGUGAGCUCGAUGAGUAGGGCGGGACACGUGGUAUCCUGUCUGAAUAUGGGGGGACCAUCCUCCAAGGCUAAAUACUCCUGACUGACCGAUAGUGAACCAGUACCGUGAGGGAAAGGCGAAAAGAACCCCGGCGAGGGGAGUGAAAAAGAACCUGAAACCGUGUACGUACAAGCAGUGGGAGCAUGCUUAGGCGUGUGACUGCGUACCUUUUGUAUAAUGGGUCAGCGACUUAUAUUCUGUAGCAAGGUUAACCGAAUAGGGGAGCCGAAGGGAAACCGAGUCUUAACUGGGCGUUAAGUUGCAGGGUAUAGACCCGAAACCCGGUGAUCUAGCCAUGGGCAGGUUGAAGGUUGGGUAACACUAACUGGAGGACCGAACCGACUAAUGUUGAAAAAUUAGCGGAUGACUUGUGGCUGGGGGUGAAAGGCCAAUCAAACCGGGAGAUAGCUGGUUCUCCCCGAAAGCUAUUUAGGUAGCGCCUCGUGAACUCAUCUCCGGGGGUAGAGCACUGUUUCGGCAAGGGGGUCAUCCCGACUUACC